GAUGAACGCUGGCGGCGUGCCUAAUACAUGCAAGUCGAGCGAACGGACGAGAAGUUUGCUUCUCUGAUGUUAGCGGCGGACGGGUGAGUAACACGUGGAUAACCUACCUAUAAGACUGGGAUAACUUCGGGAAACCGGAGCUAAUACCGGAUGAUAUUUUGAACGGCAUGGUUCAAAAGUGAAAGACGGUCUUGCUGUCACUUCUAGAUGGAUCCGCGCUGCAUUAGCUAGUUGGUAAGGUAACGGCUUACCAAGGCAACGAUGCAUAGCCGACCUGAGAGAGGGAUCGGCCACACGGGAACUGAGACGCGGUCCUGACUCCUGCGGGAGGCAGCAGUAGGGAAUCUUCCGCAAUGGGCGAAAGCCUGACGGAGCAACGCCGCGUGAGUGAUGAAGGUCUUCGGAUCGUAAAACUCUGUUAUUAGGGAAAAACAUAUGUGUAAGUAACUGUGCACAUCGUGACGGUACCUAGUCAGAAAGCCACGGCUAACUACGUG
This 497-nucleotide ribosomal RNA is filed under the name uncultured bacterium. RNAcentral describes it as "partial 16S ribosomal RNA". It matches the Rfam family "Bacterial small subunit ribosomal RNA", at positions 28 to 507 of the family's 1533-position model. The record is from RNAcentral.